This 1482-nucleotide ribosomal RNA is filed under the name uncultured bacterium. RNAcentral's name for it is "bacterial SSU rRNA". It matches the Rfam family "Bacterial small subunit ribosomal RNA". The record is from RNAcentral.
AGAGUUUGAUCCUGGCUCAGGACGAACGCUGGCGGCGUGCCUAACACAUGCAAGUCGAACGGGGACGCGCAAGGAGCAAUCCGAGCGCGUUCGAGUGGCGGACGGGUGAGUAACGCGUGAAGAACCUGCCUUUUCCAGGGGGAUAACGCACCGAAAGGUGUGCUAAUACCGCAUAAGACCACGGUAUCGCAUGAUACAGGGGUCAAAGGAGCAAUCCGGGAGAAGAUGGCUUCGCGUCCGAUUAGAUCGUUGGCGGGGUAAUGGCCCACCAAGUCUGCGAUCGGUAGCCGACCUGAGAGGGUGAUCGGCCACAUUGGGACUGAGACACGGCCCAGACUCCUACGGGAGGCAGCAGUGGGGGAUAUUGCGCAAUGGGGGAAACCCUGACGCAGCAACGCCGCGUGAAGGAAGAAGGUUUUCGGAUUGUAAACUUCUUUUAUUAAGGACGAACAAUGACGGUACUUAAUGAAUAAGCUCCGGCUAACUACGUGCCAGCAGCCGCGGUAAUACGUAGGGAGCGAGCGUUGUCCGGAUUUACUGGGUGUAAAGGGUGCGUAGGCGGCAUAGCAAGUCAGAUGUGAAAUGUAUGGGCUUAACCCAUGAACUGCAUUUGAAACUGCUAAGCUUGAGUGAAGUAGAGGUAGGCGGAAUUCCCUGUGUAGCGGUGAAAUGCGUAGAGAUAGGGAGGAACACCAGUGGCGAAGGCGGCCUACUGGGCUUUAACUGACGCUGAGGCACGAAAGCGUGGGUAGCAAACAGGAUUAGAUACCCUGGUAGUCCACGCUGUAAACGAUGAUUACUAGGUGUGGGGGGUCUGACCCCCUCCGUGCCGCAGUUAACACAAUAAGUAAUCCACCUGGGGAGUACGGCCGCAAGGUUGAAACUCAAAGGAAUUGACGGGGGCCCGCACAAGCAGUGGAGUAUGUGGUUUAAUUCGAAGCAACGCGAAGAACCUUACCAGGUCUUGACAUCCAACUAACGAAGUAGAGAUACAUUAGGUGCCCUUCGGGGAAAGUUGAGACAGGUGGUGCAUGGUUGUCGUCAGCUCGUGUCGUGAGAUGUUGGGUUAAGUCCCGCAACGAGCGCAACCCUUGCUAUUAGUUGCUACGCAAGAGCACUCUAAUAGGACUGCCGUUGACAAAACGGAGGAAGGUGGGGACGACGUCAAAUCAUCAUGCCCUUUAUGACCUGGGCCACACACGUACUACAAUGGCUAUUAACAGAGAGAAGCGAUACCGCGAGGUGGAGCAAACCUCACAAAAAUAGUCUCAGUUCGGAUUGGAGGCUGCAACCCGCCUCCAUGAAGCCGGAAUUGCUAGUAAUCGCGGAUCAGCAUGCCGCGGUGAAUACGUUCCCGGGCCUUGUACACACCGCCCGUCACACCAUGAGAGCCGGGGGGACCCGAAGUCAGUAGUCUAACCGCAAGGAGGACGCUGCCGAAGGUAAAACUGGUGAUUGGGGUGAAGUCGUAACAAGGUAACC